CAUUUAUUAUAAUCUUUACAUUCUUCUGACAAUAUUAAUCGACCUCGAUUUACAUACUAGCGGAUAAUACUAUAUUUACACUACUAGCCCAUGGCUUAAGCCGUGCAGGAUCUAAGACACUCCAAUAUGAUUUGGAUUCCUCUUGCGGCAUCACGGUGCAGCCAUUAACUCCCUGCCGCGGGCACUGACGAUACUGAUGCUCGGUGCUCCAACAUUGGAAGCAUGCUCCCUCGGGUCUUAUUGGCUGCUUACAAUCAGAUAUCCAAUGCCCCAACUGACGGCAGUUAAAGCACCUUAUUUCUUGUUGAACCAAAGAUGUCCUCGGCUUAGGAUUUCCGCUACCUUCAGCACGAGCAACAGCAACUGCUGGCACUUCACGAAACUGUUCGUAAAUGAGGACCUUUUCACGCAAUUCAUCCAGCGAUGUACAAUAUCUCAUAGAUGCAGCAGCGCCUGUUUUAUCUUGCAGCCCGUUGACAAUGUACUGAAUGACGUCACUCGUCGCCAAAUCAGCUAGCAUAGCCAUGCUGCACAUCGCAACGAAAUACUGAAGAGUGCUUCUCCUUUUUUUAUUUUUCUUGACUCCAUCUGCUUACCAAUGUCCCAAGCUGUCACCCUACGCCUAAAGGUAUGGAUUACCUCCUCUUUCAUGUCCUUUUAAGUUAAGAUUCCAGUAUUGUGCAUAUAUUAUUGGGCAGAUCCAGCCAGCAGAUGUUUAGCAUAAAUAAAUCGCUUCAUCAAGUUUACAUUGUAGAGGUCCAUCAUAUCCUCGAAAUCACGAGUUCACAUUGACACAGGGUAUUUAUCGUCCCCAGAGAAAGGACGUACCAAAGCUUCAACAUCUUUGAUACUCAAAGCAUCUUUUUGCACUGGCACAGUGCGAGUUGCGGCGAUUUCCAUUUUCAGUACUGCCACCUGCAGUUCGGCAACUCGGUUCUAGCGGAAAAAAGUUUUUCCAAACGGUCCAAAUCUUGCAUUUCGGUCACACAAUUUUCCGUUAUCUCGCAUAAUUGGUCUGCAUUGCGUCGUUCGAGUUUUGUGCUGUACAUAACGGUUGUUCUGCCAUUAUGUUUCUUAUCUCGAAAUCUGGUAACAAGGCCACACUCUCAACACGUUGGUUUGGAACCUCCGCAUCGAUCAAAUUGUCAUCCUUUUCCAUAUUUACAAUUUGAUUUACUGCAGCACGCAAUUGUUGGAUUGACGUACUUUCACUAAUGUGCACGCCAAAACUUUUUAAUAUAGUACUUAGUUCUGAUUUGGUUUUACAAAUGAUUUCUCUAUAUUGCAUUGCUCGAAUACUCAGCGAAAGAUCUGGGCAAACCCCACACCUGAUUUGUAAAGUCCGCACUCUUUACUUAUUUUCUUCGUAUAUCUUUAUUUUACAACUUUUUUAUGUCCACUCAGUUCAACCGCUCAAACAUUAGUGCCGUCUUUUCUCCUUUUUAUCGAUGCUGGAAAUGUAUGUAUUCUAUCGAUACAUACAUCGCUUCAAUCUGAUAUUUAAGUAUUUAUUACAAUCUUUACACUACUUAAAUUAACUUUAAAUUUCUGUUAUAUUUGUUACAUUUGCAUUUUAAUUAUUAUUUAAAAUGUACACUUUUUUACUUAUUACAAGAAGCUAAUUAGUAAUUCCCCACAUGAAGCCAUUAUUAUUUUUUUCCAAGCAAGAAGCCGGAGAUCGGCCGACUUGCGCUCUGAACCGGAGUCUUCUAGCCCUGUUGGAGAUCUGCAGGCCAUUGUGGUUCAUAGACAACCUGGAAUCCACAGCGUGGAUUGCUUCGCUGACGGAACCACUUAUUGUGUCAAUUUGUUCCUUAUUUAAUGGUGUUCCUUGAGUUGUUUUUCAUCUAGUUUUAAUUGUGUAUUUAAGGUUUAAAUUUUUUAUGUCAGCGCAAUAAAUUUUAUAAAAUUU
Drosophila montana is the source of this 1912-nucleotide long non-coding RNA. RefSeq lists it as uncharacterized. The record is from RefSeq and is a predicted model, not a curated record. Lineage: Eukaryota; Metazoa; Arthropoda; Insecta; Diptera; Drosophilidae. The transcript has 2 exons.